RNAcentral lists this ribosomal RNA (468 nucleotides) under uncultured bacterium. RNAcentral's name for it is "partial 16S ribosomal RNA". It matches the Rfam family "Bacterial small subunit ribosomal RNA", at positions 28 to 507 of the family's 1533-position model. The record is from RNAcentral.
GACGAACGCUGGCGGCGUGCUUAACACAUGCAAGUCGAACGGAAAGGCCCUGCUUUUGUUGUGUGCUCGAGUUGCGAACGGGUGAGUAACACGUGAGUAACCUGCCCUUGACUUUGGGAUAACUUCAGGAAACUGGGGCUAAUACCGGAUAUUAGCUCCUGCUGCAUGGUGGGGGUUGGAAAGUUUCGGCGGUUGGGGAUGGACUCGCGGCUUAUCAGCUUGUUGGUGGGGUAGUGGCUUACCAAGGCUUUGACGGGUAGCCGGCCUGAGAGGGUGACCGGCCACAUUGGGACUGAGAUACGGCCCAGACUCCUACGGGAGGCAGCAGUGGGGAAUAUUGCACAAUGGGCGGAAGCCUGAUGCAGCAACGCCGCGUGCGGGAUGACGGCCUUCGGGUUGUAAACCGCUUUCGCCUGUGACGAAGCGUGAGUGACGGUAAUGGGUAAAGAAGCACCGGCUAACUACGUG